Transfer RNA from Sus scrofa (pig), 72 nucleotides. It matches the Rfam family "tRNA". Rfam says of the family: Transfer RNA (tRNA) molecules are approximately 80 nucleotides in length. Lineage: Eukaryota; Metazoa; Chordata; Mammalia; Artiodactyla; Suidae. The record is from Rfam.
UCCCUGGCGGUCUAGUGGUUAGGAUUCAGCUCUUUCACUGCUGCAGCCCAGGUUCAAUUCCUGAUCUUGGAG